Molecule: unclassified non-coding RNA, 705 nt
Filed under: Hevea brasiliensis (rubber tree)
Lineage: Eukaryota; Viridiplantae; Streptophyta; Magnoliopsida; Malpighiales; Euphorbiaceae
Source: RNAcentral
CAGGGACAAUAAGUUGAAACAAUUUAUUCAGAGACAAUUUGUGCCCAUAGAAUGGGAAAUAAAGAUCAUUGGCAACUUUACAAGAUGAUAAAUAAGUUGCCAAUGAUGACAAAUUCAAUUUCUUUCCAUCGAAAAAGAGUGUAACAUAUAGAAUCUAAUUUUUAGCCAGUUCGGCGAUUGAUAAGCUAAUGCUACAAAGCUGGCUAAACUUUGUGUUAUCAGCAGUCAUGGGUGAAGCUCCCUUGAAUCCAUCUUCACAAGACUGUGCUUCGGUCAUGGCAGUAGUGAUCCCUACCUUAACAUCAUUGAAAACUUUAGCUUCCAAAGCAGCUGUGGCGAACUUAAUCUUAUCCAUUGCAACAUUGUAAUUUUGAGAGCAAUCUGUUAGCGUUUGCACAACAUCAGCAGCUUUGCCCAUCAUCAGUUCAGCCAUUUUCUUGGUUACUUCACCUCCUUGUAAUGUUGUAGCCCCUAGUGCAGAUUUGGCUAGGCUGUGCACAUCUGCUGCAUUGGCUGAUCCUAGAGCAGAAUUGCAUAGGUCCUUAUAUGAGGUUUUAUCACAAGUUUGAGUUAUUAACUCUGAGGCUUGGUGGGUAGGAACUGCAAGAAGAAGAACAAAGAAGAAAAAGAUUGGCAAAGACAUUGUUUAGUAGGAUUUUUGUUCUUUUUCGAGAUAGAUGCAAUUGAAAUUAAGAUGGCUUGUGG